Non-coding RNA from Rickenella mellea, 75 nucleotides. The record is from the annotation of a GenBank genome assembly. Lineage: Eukaryota; Fungi; Basidiomycota; Agaricomycetes; Hymenochaetales; Rickenellaceae.
UGCCGGUUAGCUCAGCUGGUUAGAGCGAAGGAACUGAAGAAUCUGAGGUCGCGGGUUCGACUCCCGCACUGGCAC